This 199-nucleotide long non-coding RNA is filed under the name Carica papaya (papaya). RNAcentral's name for it is "long non-coding RNA (CPAP_LNC003374)". The record is from RNAcentral. Lineage: Eukaryota; Viridiplantae; Streptophyta; Magnoliopsida; Brassicales; Caricaceae.
CUAAAGCGCCCCAAGGAGAAUGACCAGGGCAAAUGAAUUUUUGGGUGAUAAGAUCAGAAAGUUGAUGUUCCGGCUUUGUUAGCUCAAUGUGACUCAUGUGAUACGUAGGCUUUGAGCUCAGCUAGGUUCUAAGCAACAAUUUAAUCAAGAACUUUACCUCAUGUGGGGAAGGUAGACCAGGAAGUUUGAUGGGAAAGAC